GAUGAACGCUGGCGGCGUGCCUAAUACAUGCAAGUCGAGCGAACGGACGAGAAGCUUGCUUCUCUGAUGUUAGCGGCGGACGGGUGUGUAACACGUGGAUCACCUACCUAUCAGACUGGGAUAACUUCGGGAAACCGGAGCUAAUCCCGGAUAAUAUUUUGAACCGCAUGGUUCAAAAGUGAAAGACGGUCUUGCUGUCACUUAUAGAUGGAUCCGCGCUGCAUUAGCUAGUUGGUAAGGUAACGGCUUACCAAGGCAACGAUGCAUAGCCGACCUGAGAGGGUGAUCGGCCACACUGGAACUGAGACACGGUCCAGACUCCUACGGGAGGCAGCAGUAGGGAAUCUUCCGCAAUGGGCGAAAGCCUGACGGAGCAACGCCGCGUGAGUGAUGAAGGUCUUCGGAUCGUAAAACUCUGUUAUUAGGGAAGAACAUAUGUGUAAGUAACUGUGCACAUCUUGACGGUACCUAAUCAGAAAGCCACGGCUAACUACGUG
This 497-nucleotide ribosomal RNA is filed under the name uncultured bacterium. Its description in RNAcentral is "partial 16S ribosomal RNA". It matches the Rfam family "Bacterial small subunit ribosomal RNA", at positions 28 to 507 of the family's 1533-position model. The record is from RNAcentral.